AAUGAACGCUGGCGGCAGGCCUAACACAUGCAAGUCGAGCGAAGUCUUCGGACUUAGCGGCGGACGGGUGAGUAACGCGUGGGAACAUGCCCUUUGGUGCGGAAUAGCCCCGGGAAACUGGGCGUAAUACCGCAUGUGCCCUUCGGGGGAAAGAUUUAUGGCCACAGGAUUGGCCCGCGUUGGAUUCGGUAGUUGGUGGGGUAAUGGCCUACCAAGCCGACGAUGCAUAGCUGGUUUGAGAGGAUGAUCAGCCACACUGGGACUGAGACACGGCCCAGAAUCCUACGGGAGGCAGGAGUGGGGAAUCUUAGACGAUGGGGGCAAGCCUGAUAGAGCCAUGCCGGGUGAGCGAUGAAGGCCGUAGGGUUGUAAAGAUCUUUCAGUGGGGAAGAUAAUGACGGUACCCACAGAAGAAGCCCCGGCUAACUCCGUG
This 433-nucleotide ribosomal RNA is filed under the name uncultured bacterium. RNAcentral's name for it is "partial 16S ribosomal RNA". It matches the Rfam family "Bacterial small subunit ribosomal RNA", at positions 29 to 507 of the family's 1533-position model. The record is from RNAcentral.